GACGAACGCUGGCGGCGUGCUUAACACAUGCAAGUCGAACGUGAUUUUUGUGGAAAUUCUUUCGGGAAUGGAAAUGAAAUGAAAGUGGCGAACGGGUGAGUAACACGUGAGCAACCUACCUUACACAGGGGGAUAGCCGUUGGAAACGACGAUUAAUACCGCAUGAGACCACAGAAUCGCAUGAUAUAGGGGUCAAAGAUUUAUCGGUGUAAGAAGGGCUCGCGUCUGAUUAGCUAGUUGGAAGGGUAAAGGCCUACCAAGGCGACGAUCAGUAGCCGGUCUGAGAGGAUGAACGGCCGCAUUGGAACUGAGACACGGUCCAAACUCCUACGGGAGGCAGCAGUGGGGAAUAUUGCACAAUGGGGGGAACCCUGAUGCAGCGACGCCGCGUGAGCGAAGAAGGUUUUCGAAUCGUAAAGCUCUGUCCUAUGAGAAGAUAAUGACGGUAUCAUAGGAGGAAGCCCCGGCUAAAUACGUGCCAGCAGCCGCGGUAAUACGUAUGGGGCGAGCGUUGUCCGGAAUUAUUGGGCGUAAAGGGUACGUAGGCGGUUUUUUAAGUCAGGUGUGAAAGCGUGAGGCUUAACCUCAUUAAGCACUUGAAACUGGAAGACUUGAGUGAAGGAGAGGAAAGUGGAAUUCCUAGUGUAGCGGUGAAAUGCGUAGAUAUUAGGAGGAAUACCGGUGGCGAAGGCGACUUUCUGGACUUUUACUGACGCUCAGGUACGAAAGCGUGGGGAGCAAACAGG
This 746-nucleotide ribosomal RNA is filed under the name uncultured Clostridium sp. Its description in RNAcentral is "bacterial SSU rRNA". It matches the Rfam family "Bacterial small subunit ribosomal RNA", at positions 28 to 776 of the family's 1533-position model. Lineage: Bacteria; Bacillati; Bacillota; Clostridia; Eubacteriales; Clostridiaceae. The record is from RNAcentral.